CUUCGACAUACCCCUCGACAAUCCUAGAGAUAGGACGUCCCCUUCGGGGGCAGAGUGACAGGUGGUGCAUGGUUGUCGUCAGCUCGUGUCGUGAGAUGUUGGGUUAAGUCCCGCAACGAGCGCAACCCUUGAUCUUAGUUGCCAGCAUUCAGUUGGGCACUCUAAGGUGACUGCCGGUGACAAACCGGAGGAAGGUGGGGAUGACGUCAAAUCAUCAUGCCCCUUAUGACCUGGGCUACACACGUGCUACAAUGGACAGAACAAAGGGCAGCGAAACCGCGAGGUUAAGCCAAUCCCACAAAUCUGUUCUCAGUUCGGAUCGCAGUCUGCAACUCGACUGCGUGAAGCUGGAAUCGCUAGUAAUCGCGGAUCAGCAUGCCGCGGUGAAUACGUUCCCGGGCCUUGUACACACCGCCCGU
Molecule: ribosomal RNA, 419 nt
Filed under: bacterium
Lineage: Bacteria
Description: bacterial SSU rRNA
Rfam family: Bacterial small subunit ribosomal RNA
Source: RNAcentral